This 2066-nucleotide long non-coding RNA is filed under the name Sus scrofa (pig). Its description in RNAcentral is "lncRNA (ENSSSCG00015029111.1)". The record is from RNAcentral. Lineage: Eukaryota; Metazoa; Chordata; Mammalia; Artiodactyla; Suidae.
UUUUUUUUUUUUUUUUUUGUCUUUGCCCUCUGCAUGCAAAAGUUCCCAGGCCAAGGAUCAAACCUGCCCCAUAGAAGUGACCAAAGCCACAGCAGUGACAACACCAGAUCCUUAACUGCUAGGGCACAAACAAAUUCCAAAAAUGCAUUUACUAUACCCAACCUAACAAACAUCAUAGCUUAGCCUAGCCUACUUUAAACAUGCUCAAAACAAUCACAUUAGCCCAUGGGUGGGCAGAAUCAUCUAACACAAAGCCUAGUUUAUAAUCAAGUAUUGAAUAAUUCAUGUAAUUUAUUAAGUACUGUACUGAGAGUGAAAAACAGGCCAGUUGUCUGGGAAAGAAUGGUCAUUUCCUCUUGUGAUCCCCUGGCUGAUUGGGAGCUGUGGUGGCUGCCACUGCCCAGCAUCAUUAGAGAGCAUCACACAGCCCAUCACUAGCCAGGAAAAGACUGAAAUUCAAAAUUCCAAGUUCCUACUGAAUGGGUAUCAUUUUGUACCAUCAAAAAGUUGAAAAUCAGAGUCUCCACUGUGGCUCAGCAGUAAUGAACCCAAGUAAUAUCCAUGAGGAUGCAGUUGGGUUCGUUAACCACUGAACAACGAAGGGAACUCCCAAAUACUACUUAAUAAUUGCCUCUUCUAGGAAGGCCUCUCUGAUUAUUCAAUAAUCAUGUACCAUUGUUUGGACAAACAGUCCCUGCAUAUGGAAAUAAGAGCUAUGGCCCCAGACCUCAGGUGGGGAGGACAGAGGAGCUGAAAUAUCAUCAGUCAUUAUUACACGGAAUAAGUGCUCUGAUAGGUAAGCAAGGGGCUCUGAGAGCACCAGGGGCCAUCACAGAGCCCUGACUGGGGAAGUGUCAAAGAAAAGGGGACAGGUUGGGGAAGGGGUGGGCUAAGGGUUUGGUGCUGGCAUAUGCACACUGCAGUACAUGGAAUGACUGGCCAGAGGGGACCGGCUGUGUAGCGCAGAGAACUUUCCCAACAUUCGGUGAUGAUCUGUAUGGGGAAAGAAUCUGAAGGAGAAUGGAUGUGUGUACAUGUAUAACCAAAUCACUUUGCUGUACAGCAGAAAUGACCAUGACAUUGUAAAGCAACUGUACUGCAAUACGACUUGAAAAAAUAAAAAAAUAAAAAAAAGAAAGUGUUCCUGGAUGAGGUGAGGUGCCAUCUGCACUGAGUUGUAAAGAAGGACCCAGGAGUCAGGUGCCAAGCAGAGGAGGUGAUGAAGGAAGAAGGUGUCCAAGCUGAGAGGCUGGAGGGACCGUGGGGCACUGAGGGUUCAGUGUGGCCAGUCCAAGCCUCUGACAAGACAGGUCACGGGUCCUUGCUGCUCCAUCAGAUAGAGGUAUGAUUAUACUGGCUCCUAGAAGGUCACUCAGCCACUGUGUGAGGAGGUUUUCUGCGAGGAGCAAGACCAAGCGAAGGGGACCCUUCAGGCAGCCAUCAGUGGCAGCCAGGAGGGAGAGGAUGGGAGCCUGAUGGAGGCGGGGACACUGGAGGGAGAUCGGCUGGGUCAGUGACCUAGGAAGAGCGGGGUGUUGCUGUAGGCAACAGGAUGGGGGCAGGGGUCACUAUCAAAACGAACAGACAGGAGGAGGCAAUUUCAUUUUGCCCUGUUGGGUUGAGUUCCUUGCAGGACCUCCAGAGGACAGGGCCCCUGGGUGGUGGGGACAGAGACUCGUUGCUUAAGCCAGUUCUCUGAACGAGAAAGCUUAAGGGGAGAGCUAUCAGCACCCAGGUGAUAGGUGCAAACUUGGACUUGGAGGACAUCCCCGGGGAGAGAAUCGAAACAAGAAGAGAGGGCCCAGAGGGAGCCCAAGGGACAAUGACAUGGGAAGGUCCAGCCAAAAGGAGGAGGGCAAUCGAGGGAGGAGGAAGGCUCCAGAAGACAGGCAGACCAUGCAGUCAUGGCACACCGCUGGCAGAGGUCACAAUACACCGGUCAACAGGGACCUUGGCCAAAGCAGUUCUGGAGGGAUGAAGGGGGCAGGGACCAGAUCACCCCGGGGGUGGGGGGUGAACACAGGGUGCCAUGAGAAGUGCGGGUGACAGGGGUCGGCCAGCCCCCA